CGCGGCCUAUCAGCUUGUUGGUGGGGUAGUGGCUUACCAAGGCUUUGACGGGUAGCCGGCCUGAGAGGGUGACCGGCCACAUUGGGACUGAGAUACGGCCCAGACUCCUACGGGAGGCAGCAGUGGGGAAUAUUGCACAAUGGGCGGAGGCCUGAUGCAGCAACGCCGCGUGCGGGAUGACGGCCUUCGGGUUGUAAACCGCUUUCGCCUGUGACGAAGCGUGAGUGACGGUAAUGGGUAAAGAAGCACCGGCUAACUACGUGCCAGCAGCCGCGGUGAUACGUAGGGUGCGAGCGUUGUCCGGAUUUAUUGGGCGUAAAGGGCUCGUAGGUGGUUGAUCGCGUCGGAAGUGUAAUCUUGGGGCUUAACCCUGAGCGUGCUUUCGAUACGGGUUGACUUGAGGAAGGUAGGGGAGAAUGGAAUUCCUGGUGGAGCGGUGGAAUGCGCAGAUAUCAGGAGGAACACCAGUGGCGAAGGCGGUUCUCUGGGCCUUUCCUGACGCUGAGGAGCGAAAGCGUGGGGAGCGAACAGGCUUAGAUACCCUGGUAGUCCACGCUGUAAACGGUGGGUACUAGGUGUGGGGUCCAUUCCACGGGUUCCGUGCCGUAGCUAACGCUUUAAGUACCCCGCCUGGGGAGUACGG
RNAcentral lists this ribosomal RNA (643 nucleotides) under uncultured bacterium. RNAcentral describes it as "bacterial SSU rRNA". It matches the Rfam family "Bacterial small subunit ribosomal RNA", at positions 232 to 885 of the family's 1533-position model. The record is from RNAcentral.